GUAAACCAAGCUGCAUGGGUCCUGACACACAAGGCCUGCCACAGGAACACUCAGCCCCAAUUCAGUAUAGUUUUCUAUUGACUUGACUACUCUAACCUGCAAGAUCUCAAACUGAAUAUACAAAAAGACAGUCUAUGGAUGUCAAUACUGAGAUAACAGAGAAGCUAAAGUUAUCUGAAGCAAAAUGUAAAACAAUCAUGAUAAAACUGAUGAAGAUGGCCUUUUCUGGUCCGCCUGGUAAACUCCUAUUCUUCCUUCAGAUUCAGCCCAAAUCAGUCUUCAGUAAUAAUUCUCACUUACUGGACUUGGCGCUUGACUGAGAGAGUGAGGCAGAAUGACUUUGGACCGUACUGGUGAAAAAUAAGGGCACACUUAACAUUUUGUUCAACAGUGUUUGAAGGAUAAAAAUGAUUCCUGCCUACGUGAAAAAAAU
RNAcentral lists this long non-coding RNA (433 nucleotides) under Homo sapiens (human). Its description in RNAcentral is "HSALNT0374385". Lineage: Eukaryota; Metazoa; Chordata; Mammalia; Primates; Hominidae. The record is from RNAcentral.